GCUUGUCUCAAAGAUUAAGCCAUGCAUGUCUUAGUGUAAAUAACUCUUAUGAAACUGCGAAUGGCUCAUUAAAUCAGUUAUCAAAUACGUGAUGGUCGCCUACUACAUGGAUAACCGUAGUAAUUCUAGAGCUAAUACAUGCACAAAGGCCCAUUCACGUGGGUUGUGAUUAUUAGAUACAACCAACCCUUCGGGUUUUUGGUGAAUCAUAAUAACCGAACGAACCGUAUGCGCAAGCGACGGUGGUUCAUUCAAGUUUCUGCCCUAUCAGCUUUCGAUGGUAGGGUAUUGGCCUACCAUGGCGUUAACGGGUAACGGAGAAUUAGGGUUCGAUUCCGGAGAGGGAGCCUGAGAGAUGGCUACCACAUCCAAGGAAGGCGCAGG
RNAcentral lists this ribosomal RNA (384 nucleotides) under uncultured fungus. RNAcentral describes it as "partial small subunit ribosomal RNA". It matches the Rfam family "Eukaryotic small subunit ribosomal RNA", at positions 30 to 432 of the family's 1831-position model. The record is from RNAcentral. Lineage: Eukaryota; Fungi.